This 605-nucleotide long non-coding RNA is filed under the name Homo sapiens (human). RNAcentral describes it as "HSALNT0318524". The record is from RNAcentral. Lineage: Eukaryota; Metazoa; Chordata; Mammalia; Primates; Hominidae.
AUCAUCUAAGACAUGACUUUGCUCCUCCUUUACCUUCUGCCAUGAUUGUGCGGCCUCCCCAGCCAUGUGGAACUUUUAUGGACUGCCCUGAAUUCUUUCCUGUGCAAGAUCCAUGAGCUUUCUUUUGGAGUCUGGAUCUGGGCCCUGUCAGGCCUCUGAGCCCAAGCCAAGCCAUCGCAUCCCGUGACUUGCACGUAUAUACGCCCAGAUGGCCUGAAGUAACUGAAGAAUCACAAAAGAAGUGAAUAUGCCCUGCCUCACCUUAACUGAUGACAUUCCACCACAAAAGAAGUGUAAAUGGCCGGUCCUUGCCUUAACUGAUGACAUUACCUUGUGAAAGUCCUUUUCCUGGCUCAUCCUGGCUCAAAAAGCACCCCCACUGAGCACCUUGCGACCCCGCACUCCUGCCCGCCAGAGAACAAACCCCCUUUGACUGUAAUUUUCCUUUACCUACCCAAAUCCUAUAAAACGGCCCCACCCUUAUCUCCUUUCACUGACUCUCUUUUCAGACUCAGCCCGCCUGCACCCAGGUUAAAUAAACAGCCAUGUUGCUCACGCAAAGCCUGUUUGGUGGUCUCUUCACACGGACGCGCAUGAAAUUUGGU